UGCUGGAGGUAUCAGAAGUGCGAAUGCUGACAUAAGUAACGAUAAAGCGGGUGAAAAGCCCGCUCGCCGGAAGACCAAGGGUUCCUGUCCAACGUUAAUCGGGGCAGGGUGAGUCGACCCCUAAGGCGAGGCCGAAAGGCGUAGUCGAUGGGAAACGGGUUAAUAUUCCCGUACUUGGUGUUACUGCGAAGGGGGGACGGAGAAGGCUAUGUUGGCCGGGCGACGGUUGUCCCGGUUUAAGCGUGUAGGUGUGUGUUCCAGGUAAAUCCGGUUCACUUUAACACUGAGGCGUGACGACGAGGCACUACGGUGCUGAAGCAACAAAUGCCCUGCUUCCAGGAAAAGCCUCUAAGCAUCAGGUAACAUCAAAUCGUACCCCAAACCGACACAGGUGGUCAGGUAGAGAAUACCAAGGCGCUUGAGAGAACUCGGGUGAAGGAACUAGGCAAAAUGGUGCCGUAACUUCGGGAGAAGGCACGCUGA
This 483-nucleotide ribosomal RNA is filed under the name Salmonella enterica. RNAcentral describes it as "partial 23S ribosomal RNA". It matches the Rfam family "Bacterial large subunit ribosomal RNA", at positions 1271 to 1754 of the family's 2925-position model. RNAcentral also lists the same sequence under 4 other names. The record is from RNAcentral. Lineage: Bacteria; Pseudomonadati; Pseudomonadota; Gammaproteobacteria; Enterobacterales; Enterobacteriaceae.